This 457-nucleotide ribosomal RNA is filed under the name uncultured bacterium. RNAcentral describes it as "partial 16S ribosomal RNA". It matches the Rfam family "Bacterial small subunit ribosomal RNA", at positions 355 to 803 of the family's 1533-position model. The record is from RNAcentral.
UGGGGAAUUUUGGACAAUGGGCGAAAGCCUGAUCCAGCAAUGCCGCGUGUGUGAAGAAGGCCUUCGGGUUGUAAAGCACUUUUGUCCGGAAAGAAAUCCUUGGCUCUAAUACAGUCGGGGGAUGACGGUACCGGAAGAAUAAGCACCGGCUAACUACGUGCCAGCAGCCGCGGUAAUACGUAGGGUGCAAGCGUUAAUCGGAAUUACUGGGCGUAAAGCGUGCGCAGGCGGUUUGCUAAGACCGAUGUGAAAUCCCCGGGCUCAACCUGGGAACUGCAUUGGUGACUGGCAGGCUAGAGUAUGGCAGGAGGGGGGUAGAAUUCCACGUGUAGCAGUGAAAUGCGUAGAGAUGUGGAGGAAUACGAUGGCGAAGGCAGCCCCCUGGGCCAAAUACUGACGCUCAUGCACGAAAGCGUGGGGAGCAAACAGGAUUAGAUACCCUGGUAGUCCACGCCCU